RNAcentral lists this long non-coding RNA (1678 nucleotides) under Oryctolagus cuniculus (rabbit). Its description in RNAcentral is "lncRNA (ENSOCUG00000033993.1)". Lineage: Eukaryota; Metazoa; Chordata; Mammalia; Lagomorpha; Leporidae. The record is from RNAcentral.
GUUGUUCAUGGUCAUGUCCGGCACCCCGGGGCCCCUGCACCGUCAGCCCUUCCAGCAGCGUGGGGGCAGCUCCUGCGGCUCCUGGUUCCCGUGACCCCGCUGCACGCCCCCGCCAGGCCCCGCUCCCCCAGCCGCCUCGCCCGGGUUCCGGGGACCCACCUGGCACCACCCGCCCCCGGGUGCAGGCCGAGCGCGUCCACGCGUGCAGCAUCCUCGCUUUCACGCGCCUGGCCCUGUGGAGGGCGGCUUGAGGACGCGAAGUCGACAAAGGGCCACAGGCGGCCAGCGAGAGGAGCCUGGGAGCGAGGCCUCGGUCACCCGAGUCGCGGCCAGCCCUGGGGGCGGGGCGGGCCGUGGGCUCGGCCUGGGAUUGGGCAGCUGGCCGGAAGGGGCGGGACUUCCGGGGGGCGCCAAAUUGCCGAGAGCUGGCGCUGCGGCCGCGGACAUGCUGCCGGCCGGCUGCUCCCAGCGCCUGGUGGCCGAGCUACAGGGCGCCCUGGACGCUUGCGCAGAGAGACAGAAGCAGCAGGAGCGGAGCCUCGGAGUCUGCCGGCGGCUGCUGCAGGCCUGGGAACCAGCGAGGACCUGGGCUCCAGAUCCACCUCCGGGGCCAGAAACUACCGAAGAGGACCUGACCCCAGGUACACCGGGCCGCCCGCCUUCACGGGCUGCCCCUGGCAUGUGCUCAGGGGCCUCUCCUGGGGGCCGGCGGAGAGGGAGCCUUGCAUGACUCUUGGCUUUCGCAGCGCGCACCCCCAGCCCCCAGGACCUCAAAGGAGCUAGGAGCUCUUGACGCAGGCGCUGGAGAAGGCUGCACGCGUGCGAAGAAGUGUCUGCAGGGCCGGAGGAAGAGGCGAGGCCGCCGGCCUGACGCCCGGCUCUGCUGCCGCCUCCGCUGGCACCGCGGCGCCAGGGUCCGGCCAAGGUGGCCCAGGGCCCGCCAAGGGCAUCCGCCAGGCCAGGACGCCUGCCACGGACCACCCGGAGCUCAGGCCUCUGCCAGGCAGGGACAGGGCCGGUGUGGGGACAAGAGCCCGAGCCACCGAGCCUGGACGCAGCCUCAGAGACCAGCGAGUGGCCCCAUCGCCUGCCCCUCAGGCCCCGGGAGCCUUCACGCUGAAGGAGCAGGGGUAGGUUUCCCAGCCCCUCGCUGGAGGAAUGGCCGCGUUUGCCGGCUCCGAUCCCGGCCGGCCGCAGGAGGCUGAGGACCGGUGAGAGAGCAGCGCACUGAGCAGGACGCGGGCCCGGGGAGCCCUCGGCAGCGCCUGGUCAAGUGUGGGCUCAGGAGCUGCUGGCUGGACUUGACCUGCGGGAGGCUGGCCUCCUGCCCCGCCCCCAGGCCGGCCCAGGGGUCCUGGGGGCCCUGUCCCUGUCCCCAGGCCAUGCUGGGCUGAAGCCCGGUCCAGAGCCUGUGGAAGCGCGGGGGUGGGGGAGGCCUCGUGCUGACGGGGCUCUGAGCGGCGAGCCGGGCCACCCCGAACCCCCGCUUCUCUGCAGGAGGCUGCUGCGGCUGCCCGCGGCCCUCAGGAAGGCGGCGUCCCAGAACCAGCGGUGAGACGGUGGGGGCAGAGGGGAGGCCACGGGUGUGCCAGCAGCCUGGGGCCGCGCGGGCAAGGGUUUCCCCGGGGCCCUGCUGGUCUGCUGUGCGGGUCACUGUUCAGAGGUCACUUUCAGUCCC